RNAcentral lists this unclassified non-coding RNA (151 nucleotides) under Sporormiella megalospora. RNAcentral's name for it is "partial internal transcribed spacer 2". The record is from RNAcentral. Lineage: Eukaryota; Fungi; Ascomycota; Dothideomycetes; Pleosporales; Sporormiaceae.
ACACCUUCAAGCCCUGCUUGGUGUUGGGUGCCUGUCCCGCCCCGCGCGCGGACUCACCUCAAAUCCAUUGGCGGCCCCCACGUCGGCUCCGAGCGCAGCAGAAACGCGAACUCGUGGGCCCGGCGGGGUGGCUCCCAGAAGCACAUCCACC